Molecule: transfer RNA, 69 nt
Filed under: Euroleon nostras
Lineage: Eukaryota; Metazoa; Arthropoda; Insecta; Neuroptera; Myrmeleontidae
Description: tRNA-Gln
Source: RNAcentral
UAUAUUUUAGUAUAUGAUGUAUAUAGACUUUUGAUGUCUAAAGAAAUAGUUUAAUUCUAUUAAAUAUAA